AAGCUCGUAGUUGAAUUUCCCGUCCGGCUGUUGUGGUCGGCCGCACAGGUCUGUACUCCUCGGGCCGGGCCUUUCCUUCUGGAGAACCGUCAUGCCAUUCACUUGGUGUGGCGGAGAUCCAGGACUUUUACCUUGAGAAAAUUAGAGUGUUUAAAGCAGGCAAACGCUUGAAUACGUUAGCAUGGAAUAAUAGAAUAGGACUUUGGUUCUAUUUUGUUGGUUUCUAGGACCGAAGUAAUGAUUAAUAGGGACAGUUGGGGGCAUUAGUAUUUAGUUGUCAGAGGUGAAAUUCUUGGAUUUACGAAAGACUAACUUCUGCGAAAGCAUUUGCCAAGGAUGUUUUCAUUAAUCAAGAACGAAAGUUAGGGGGUCGAAGACGAUCAGAUACCGUCGUAAUCUUAACCAUAAACUAUGCCGACUAGGGAUCGGACGAUGUUAAUUUAUAAUUGACUCGUUCGGCACCUUACGAGAAAUCAAAGUUUUUGGGUUCCGGGGGGAGUAUGGUCGCAAGGCUGAAACUUAAAGGAAUUGACGGAAGGGCACCACCAGGAGUGGAGCCUGCGGCUUAAUUUGACUCAACACGGGGAAA
Molecule: ribosomal RNA, 589 nt
Filed under: uncultured Chytridiomycota
Lineage: Eukaryota; Fungi; Chytridiomycota
Description: SSU rRNA
Rfam family: Eukaryotic small subunit ribosomal RNA
Source: RNAcentral